CCAUACCUAAAAUUAGUCUUUUUUUUUAUAAUAAUUUUUUAUGAUACGGACUUGCAUCUGUGUUUAGUUGUGCUUAGGAACUUUUAUUUUUACAUUUAGAGGAAAAAUUGGAUGGCUUGUUAGCUUGUUCAAUGUAAAAAUUUAAAGCCUCUUUUUGUAACUAUUUCAUUUUUUGUUUUUGAGCCAUGAUUUGCAUGUUUCUUAAAUACAAUAGUUGAAUUCUUAGCCAAAUUACAAGUCUUUAAAAGUUACUGUUUUUAGUUUUCAAAUUUUGAUUUGUUUUUUAAACCAUUGGUAAAAUGUAGUUAAAGAAUGAAGAAAUUUGGAGGUGGAAGUAAUGUUUACUGGCUUAAACUUAAAAAAAAAAACAAACAAAAUUGGUACUAAAUGUGGUCUUAAUUUUUCAAAACUAAACUGUGGUUGCAUUAUGCAAAUCAAAGCUUGAAUUAGAGAAGGAUCAGUGUUGUUUUAUGGGGUUUGAGAUGCACUUUUUAUGAACGUAUGACAUAGAAAAGAGAACAUAGUUGAAGUGGGAAUAUGAAAAAAAAUCCCAAACACAUGUAGUUUGCAUUUAGGCUUAUUAAUUUUUUUUCCUUUCCAGUUUAUUAGGAAGGAAAAUCCUAGUUAUUAUUAUUAUUAUUAUUGUUUUUCAAAAUAAGGAAAAAGUUUUAGGAACCAAAGUGUAUGGAAUACCGUUGCCCUACAUUGGCUCUCACCUCUAGCUAGCUUUUGGAGUGUAGUUCUCAAAGGUACUUAAGUACCUAACAAAAAGCCCCAGAGCUAUCUAAUGUGUGAGGCGCAGACUUGUGCCUAGGUCUAGGUGUGCCUAAGCAUGCCUGGGCGGGGUUUUCAAAACACUGAAAAGGAUCUUAAUCCCUCUUUCAUGUUGUUAUACCUUUAAGAUCCCCUGACAAGGAUGUUACUCCCUCUUUCACGUUGUUGUUAUACUCUAAGAUGUAUUCUUAAUUCAUUCAGCACCUUCUUGUGAGAGCUGUUGAUAAUUCCUUGUUUCAUUGUUUUUAUUUUCAGCCUCAACUGGAGUAUAGGUAUUUACAUUUUGAGGAAAAAUCAAAGAGGUGCGUUUGCCAUCAUGCAGUGUUAUUUUACAUUGUCAAAAUUUUUUGGUCAUGUUAGAGGAAGUUUAACUUAUACGAUAUUUCUCAUCUUUUAUAAUUUUUUUUUGUUUAAGCAUAAUUAUCUAAUUAGACAUCUUAAAUUCUUUCGAAAUUCUCUUUAAUCUCUGUACAUCAUUAUAAUUCUUCAAUGCAACCCUAGAUUUAAAUAGAGAAUUGAAGGAAGUACAAUCGAUACCGUUAGAAGAAAAUUCGACUCUCAUUUGAGAAAGCUGCCAUAGUUUGAAUUUUGUUUUUGAAUCCGUGCUUAGGAUUCUAUAUAGCUCAGCUUUUAAGUUAACCACUAACCUAUGGAGAAAAGUUCUAUAGGUUUUAAUCCUUCAAAACUAAUAUUGGUGAUAGAAAAAAUUACUUUUAGAAGUGUGAAAUUUAAUAUUGGGUUAAUUUUGAGUUAUUAAAAGCAUAUUUUAGAGUGAGAAAGUGAUUUUGAUGAUUUAAACCUCUUUCAAACAUUUUAAGAUAGCUCCAUUAAAGUUGUUCGACAACAAUCAAAAUCUUCUAUUUCUCUAGUUGAGUACGGGAAUAGUUUAUACUCGAGAGAUUAAAUGAUGCUUCAAAUUAAUAAUCGUUAAAGUGUCUUAAAAUAUGGUUAAAAUAUAGAGGUGUUUUCAAAAAUAACCAAUUUAACUUUCAUGAAGAAAACCACCCAAACAUAAAAAUUAUUACAUGUAAAUAUUGUCAAUUUUUCUAUAACAAAUAUGAAAAAGAAAUAGUGGAAUCAAGAUAGUAGCAUUUACAUUACUAGAAUUUGUUUUUAUAUUUUUUGGUUUCUUUGAUUAAUUUUCCUAAUGAACGUAGGCAAAUUAUAUGAUAAUCUUUGGAGAGAGCUUGAGUUCAUUUUCGUUAGAAUAUUAUGUAAGAGAGUUUCAGUUCAUUUUAAAUUGAAUUUGGUAAAAUAGUAUGCAAGUCAUUAUAAAAAGUCUAAAUUGUUUCGUAUAGAAAUAGAGUUUAAAUUUUAAAUAAUUGUUUCCCAUUGCUUUGCAGUUGUAAGGUGUAAAUUGUUUUCUUUUCAUUAAAUAUUUUCUAAGCUUGUUGGAAAAUUAUUUUGAAUGUUUAGAUCGACGUUAACAAAAAUAUCAAUUUACGGUUUUCAUUUUAUCUUUUUGUUGUUAAAAAUAUAGAUAAAAUACCAAUUUUUUUAAAAAAGCUAAUUAAUGAUACGAAUUUUACACUUUCCAAACAAAUUAUGAAGCUAAAAUGUUUAUUAAGAAUUAAUUAUUUCAGUUUCAUGAAUUCCUUUUGAAAGUAACAAGAAUGUUGAUUCACCUUUUAUAGGUUAUAAAGUUUUGAAAAACACUUCACAAAAACUAAAUUAAAUUGAUUGUUUGAUUUGGUUAUUAAUAUAAUUGAAUUGACAGAAAAAGAAGACCUUAAUGGCAAGAUCACUCUCUUCUAUUGAUUUGUUUGAUUCUCAUGCUCCACUUCACAUAUUCGUUGGUUAUUCAUUUUUUGCAGCUUGGUAUCCAUUGAAUCAGACAAAGCCUACUUUUGUGCUCUCACAUCUGUCUUUGUUUUUACUAUUAUUUGUUAUAGUCUCUCUAUGUAUUGUUAGAAACUUUAAUGAAUAUUGAUUUUCAAUAUUGUAUGUUAUAUAGAUUGAAAAUGUAAAUUAUGAUUUUAGAUUGAAAAGGUAUGCAAUCAUUGCAAAAUAGGAAAAAUAAAAGCUAAGUAAAUUGAGUAAUCUUAGGUUUGUUUAUAAAAAAAUUUCUCAAAAAAUGUGUGUAGGUAUAUAAACAUAAUUUUUAUUCUUAUAAGUAGGUUGAUUUGUACUUUUGACCCAUACCACAUCUUUUCACGACUCAAAUAGGCUAUAGUAUGCUCCAAUCAUUGAGAAGAGAAAUCGGCCUCGAUUCCAUCCUUGGUCAUAGUCGAGGCCAAUUUGGCAAUUUUGGUACAAAGUUUUGUUGCUCUUUUCCUCGAGUCCAAUUAUAUUUAUUAUUUAUCUUCUCUUAUCUUAUAUUGGAUAAAUUGUGUGUGGAUCUUCUUUGAAGAGGUCGAUUCAACCUUCUUGCUACUUGGGCUAGAGUUUCAUCCAUUAGGGCCUAGUGUAUGUUGGACGUAGGCCAACCAAGAUCAGUUUGUUCAUGGGUCUAUUCUUUCACUCUUCUUGCCCUGAUUUCAGAAUCCACCCACCACAGUAUCAAAUCAUAAUCUCUCUUAGUGAGCUUAAGAAUUAAGGACAGACCAAGUCUAGGUACUAGAAGAGUACAUCAAUAAAUUAAGACUACAUGUAGAUUAGCAUAAUUUGAAGAUGCAAACAUGUGAGAAAAAAAAUUAAAAUAACUGAUAGUUAAGUUACCUACUAAUGAGGUGCAUUUUUCUAUUCGAUGACGGAAUCAUACAAAUUUUAAAGUUAAACGUGCUUGACUUAGACCAAUCAUAUGUUGGGUGCCAUCCUGAGAAUUUUCAUGUGUAAAUGAAGAAAAAACAUUCUAAAAGGUUACAAGUUAGAAUGUGGUGACGACUUUCAUUCUCAUAAGUAGUUUGAGAUAAGUAAGGUAACAUGGUAAAGUCACAAGGUAGAUAUGUGAGUUAUUAGGGACCGAAUCAUGAACCAUUAAUUUUAAGCUACUCUCCAGAAUAAAUAAGUUCUCUUUAGCUUCAGUUGACUAUGUGUAUAUUCAUCAUUUACACAACUAUAUUAAAAAUCUCGAUUUCUAAUAUAGUGGUAGUAAAAUUGCUUUUCUUUGAGAUCAGAUUUUCUUUUGUAUGUAUAUUACAGUAUAAGAAUGAAAAGAUCAAUUCACACCAUAUCGAGUGAUAUGUCAAAAUAAAAGGAACGAGAUGAAGAAUUUUCGAGGAAUUCCUUAUAAAUCUAUAUCUUAUAUGCAAGCUAACAUCCCAUAAUCACAUGUUCUAAGUUCAUUUAAGCACUCUUGGCAUAUACAACUCUACCAAUGUCUUAGAACAAUAGAACAGUACAUAAACUUUAAGCAAAUGUCAGUGAUGCAAUUUCUCCAUGAUAACUACUAGACUUGCAAAGAGAAGUGUUAUUGACCACCUUGAUAACCCUCCCCAUUUAAAUAAAGAGUGAGAAUCCAUACAAGAGAUAGAGGCUGAAGGGAACUCUAGGAGAAGUGAGGGCAAAAAUCAAAGAGAAGAAAAAAAAGUAGUGUAAAAGGAGAGACAAACAAUAUUCCUCUACAAAAUUGAAAUUUGUAUGGAAAGAAUCCACAAGAAAGGAAGGAUAGAGGCAAAAAUGAAACAAACUUCAAGGAGGAUUACAAAGCAAAAACAAGAGAAGAAAAGAGAAGAAAAGAAAAAGUGGUUAUCUUUCAUCUGAUAAUCUUUUGAAAAGUGAAUCCUCAAUAUACUUGAGUUGAGACUAAUAGUUAAUAUACUUACAAACAACCAUCCCUAAGCCACAAAGAAAUGAUUUUUCAAAGGGAAUUGCUAUAACCCACAUUUUGUAAGAAGGAGAGAUCUCUCAAGUUUUCAACGUUUCCAAAUUUGUUUAUAUCUAUAGCCUAUUGAGAUUGGAUUUGGGGAAAAUAUAGAAUCUUUCACCUUUGGGACCCUCCAUUCUCUUUGGAUGCCAUUCAACAAAGUUAAUAUAAACCCUACUGAACUUUUUCACCAUAGAACAUAUAUUAAAAUUAAAGGAAAAGGAAUCUUGAAUAAUCACAUUAAAUAAGUCGCACAAUCCCACUCAAAGAUGAUAUUGGAUUUGCAUUAAUAACCUCUCACACCUUUGGACAAAGAAUGCAAAUCUUUCAUGAGGAAAGUUGCUUUUGCGAGAAAAGUUUCAAAGCCUAUUGGGUAAUAUUUAGAAAGUUUUAGAUUCUACUUCAUUUCAUUAUUUGUUAUAGAAGGCUAGAAAAGCCUUCCAUAAUUGUGUGAGGCUAAUUAAUUAUCUUUAAACUUUGAGAUUAAAUCUCUAAACUUUUUAUAAGUGAAUCAAUUCAAACUUGUAGUUAAAAUUUCUUUUGAGAAUUGUCUAAACAUCAAUUUUAUUGUCCAUUUUCUAAGACCAUCAAUUGAAAAAGUUCAGACGUGUGUGAGAAUUGAUACAUGAAUGUAUUUCAAAGGUUAUUACAAGGAAGAGUCUAAAUUUAAUUGCUUAUGGACAGAAAUGUUGGAGUUUAACUUUUACCAAUUAUAAGUGUUACCCAAUGUUUUUUUCUUUAACGAAAUCUAAAAGAUAAUAUAAAUUGAUAGUAAGUUAAGAGGUUUAAAUUGCUAUAAAUAUUAUUAGUUCAAUUUUUUUUUGUUGUUGUUGAUAAACCCUCAAACAUUAGGGUUAUAAAUUGAAUGGAAUAAGCAUAUAUGGUUUUGUAGUAUAUUAUGAGGAAAUUUGUAGUGCAUAUAUACUAUGAGGAAAUUUCUAGUAUAUUGGGUUUUGUAAAAAUUUCUAUGGUUUUAGAACUUUUUUCAUAUUGGGUUUCAAAAUGUAUAACUAGUUAGGGUUGUUCUAAAAAGGAAGUCUCAACUAAUUGAAAAAUAUGGCACCAACGUUGAACACAAAUUGUGUUGUUUUACAAUAAUUAGUAUCACAAAAAUACUUUCCAUUCCCAUUAAUUUUAAGCCAUGAAAUGAUCACAAAAUGGUGAAACAAUUGAAAUUAAGAAUAUAAUAUACUGAAUCAAUGGAUACAUUGAAUUUUAUUAAGAAAAAAGAUGAAUGUUUUGAAAUAUAUAACCAAUAUUCAUGUGAUUAACUCAUAAAACUUGACCUAAAAUCAGCAAUUUGUUGUACAAAAUAGACUAAUUAUUGGAUAUCAUUAUAUUCUAAUUACUAACCACCACCAUAGAAAUUCUUAUAUUUAAAUUUUCAUAUUAUUGGUCAUUAAUCUUUUCACGUUAUAGUUUUAUAUAAUUAGGUAAAUGUAAAACUUAAUACAUAUAAAUUAAAGAGGUAAAUUUAGUUGAAACUUCCCAAAGAUUAAGAAUUAAGUUUAAAUUUAAAACUAUUAUUUCUCCCACUUGAUAAAUGUGUGUCCAGAAGAUUAAGAGAAAUUGAAAAGUAAUAGAAAAAGUAAACUAUACAAAAACAAAUAUAACAAAGUUUAUAUUGUUGGUAUACUUGCAUGUUCUAGCUAUUAUACCACCAAUAAUACAGUUUAUUAUUGAUUGUCCAUCAGAAUUUAUCUAUCAACGAUAAAAGUCUAUUGAUUUUAUAUUGUUAUAUACUUCAUUAUUACCGUCCAAAAUAAUUACUUUUAAUUUCUUGUGGAAACUAUUUUUUUCAAGUAAAAAAUGAAAAGUAUAAUUCAAAUAAGGGUGGGGUGGUUGUUUUAGAAUUUUAUUUCAAAAAAAUAAAAAAAGUGAAAGAAGUGGAAAGUAGAAUAAUAUCCUAUGAAUUUUGUAUGCACGUGAUUGGUGUGUGUAGCUUUAAUAUUAAUUUUGUAGAUGUGGCAAAUGGAAACAUCUCUUUUUCUCAAUUUGAAAAGUAAAAAGGAGUUCAUAUUAAUUUAUCUUAGUUAGUGUAAUUUCAUGUGUUUAAAUUGCUCUACCUUGAUUAAGGGCUCAAAUUCUUUUUUCUUUUUUUGGGAAAAGAUGGGUUGCAUAAUUUUUAAUUACCAUAAAUUUUUACUCUCAACUUAUUUAGGUUUUGCAACUCUCACUUUUUGGUAAGUAUUUGUGGUAGCUAUUGUUCAAAAUGUUUCUUUUUAUGCCUCUAAUGAAUUAUAAAACAUGCUUAAUUGUUAAAUUUAUAUAUUUUUUUAUAUCUAUAAUAUAUUAAAAGGAUGUUUUUAAGUGUAGUAAAAUAAAAUAAAAUAGUCAUAAAAUAGCAAAAUUUCAUAUAUUUAUUCGUCUAUGAAUAUUUGUCGAUAUUAUUAUAUAUAUUUUUGUUAUUAUUUUACUAAUACAUUUGGUUUUAGUUAAUAGUUUUCCACCAAGAUUUUAAUUAGUAGUUAAUUUAUAAUUAAAUUAACAUUUAGAUAGUAAUUAAUUAAAUGCAAUUAAUUUCAAGGUUAGAUUUAACAGCUUUCGCCAAAUUCCUAAUAUAAUAAUUGAUGGUUAAUUUAGAAUUAAAUUAAAAUUGAGAUUGCAAUUAAGUAAUUGUAACUUUCAAGGUUAGAUUCAUCCUUUUUUGCCAUUAGCAUUUAGCAAAAUUGUUUUCUUAAUACUAUAUUUUAAUGUAACAAUUAGUUGAUAAUUUAUAAAAAGGCAAUUUUUUUAAAAAAUAAAAAUUAUCUAAAUAAAUCACCAAAUUGUCUGCUCAAUGUUUUCUUAGAAGUCAAACCCACAAUAAACCCAUUAAAAAAUUUGACAUUAUUGUUAUUAUUAUUAAUUACCACUACUUUUGCUAAAGGAAAUAAAAUUGGUUUUGGUUUCUGUUGACAUGUUUCUUAAUAUCUAAUAGUUAAAUCUCAAGUUUUUCAUGCAGCAGGUGAUUAAUAAAUAAAUAAUUUAAGUACAUCUAUUCUCUUCAAUUAAAAGUUUAAAAAUUUGGUAAAUAUUAGUUUGAUUGAGUUAAGUUCACUUUAGCAUCUUUAAUUAAGAUUUAGUUUUUUUUUUUUUUUUUGAUAAAAUUCUACAAAAAGACUAAAUUCUAACCUUUUAAACUAUUAGAUUAAAUUUUAAUUUUUUUUUACAAAUUAUAAGGUUAAAUUGUAAUUAUAAUCUAUAAAAAAAUAACACGUGUGAAUAGGAAAGGAAUUACAAGCAAUCUUCUCAAUACUAAAAGAACAAAAUACCAAAAGUUAAAAAAGUUAAAGGUUGAAGUCAAAACAAUAAGACCCAAGAAAAAAGAGUUGAGAGAAAAACCAAAAUUUCAACAAAAGCAACUCUCAAGUUGAUGAAUUAUUGAGGUAAAAUUGAUAUUUUUGUUUCUAAAAUAAUAUAAUUUACCCUUUUGAAAUAUUGUGAUGAGUCAAUUUUGUUCACCCCCACACACUUACCCAUAUGAAAAAGCAAAAGGCAAAAUUGGAAUUGAAUACUCCCAACUUCCAAACAAGAUGAUGAUGCUGAUGAAUGUUGAUGAUGAUAUUCUUUAAUCCUUUUCCCCAUCAAUUACUUUCUACAAUUUUGCAUUUAGGUCGUCCUUUUUUUUUUUCUUAUAUUCAUUUAAGUUAUUGAAGAUUAGGUCAUCAAAUGUUUGUUGUAUUGCCCAAAUGAAGUUAAUAUGGCUUUGCUUAUAGACUUCAUUCUUUACCCAAAUUGCAUCAUAUCUCAUACUAAAUAAAAUAAAAGAAUAUUGCAUCAUCUCUCAGAUGGUUGUUUUUGCUUCUUCCUUUCUUUGAUCGGUUGUUUUCUUCCAUUAGGGCUUCUUACAACUUUGUUCAAUGAGUCUACAUAUUCAAAUAUGAGUUGUUAAUAGAAAAGGUUGUUGACCUAUUGCAUAAUUUAUCUUGUGUUCUUUCUCUUGAAUUUUAUUUUAAAUAAAAUCAGGAAAACAAUAAUGAAUAAUAAAGGGAGAGAGCAAUAAAAUUUCUAUUCAUGUUUUGAAUCUAGUAUGGUCAUUAAAGAUUUAUGUUGGAAUUAGUUUAUUGAUUCAUUCAUAUGUGGGCAACAAAUUAAUAGCAGUUACUUUUAUAAUUGUACUUAACAUGUUGUUUACAAUAAAAGUGGACAAUGUAACACCUUUUUUUUUUAAAAAAAAAAUUUCUUUACCAUUUCAUAUGCAAAUUGAAUGUCAACAAACCUUUAUAUUUACUAGUAAUUUUAAUGUGAAUGAGAUGUAUGGUGUGACACAAUUUUAAUUAUAAUAUUUUAUUUGGUAAAAUAUCUAUGUUUUGUUUUAGAACUUAUUUAUGCAUGAAAUCUAGACAAUUUGUAAAAGGCUAUAUAGGUUUCUAAAAAUUAGCCUGAAAAAGAAAAGUAAUAUAUAGGAUAUGUUUGAAAGUUUAAAAUUGUAAUGGACAAAUAGGUAAAAAGAAUGAAUAAAUAAAUAAACCUAAAGUAUCCACGUUUUAAUAUUAUAAUGAUAAAGAUAAAUUAUGAAAUCAUGAAAAGAUAUAUAUAGAUGAUGUAUGAAGCUUUGUAGUGAUGUUUGAUUCUUAUCAAAAAGGGUAGAAUGAUAUGUUUAACAAACUUGGAGUAAUGUUAAAUUGUUUAGAAUUGAUGGGUUUUUCAUUAUAAAAAAACUAAUACAUAAUUGGAGUAGAAUAUUACAUUUUUUAUUUAACUACUUGUGUUCGGUGUCUUUUCAGUAUCUCGUUAGAGAAUAUCAUUAAGUAUUAAUCUUUUAAAAUGUAUUGAUGUCAAGAUUAUUUAGAGUUAGAAAAUUAUAUUCAACAUUCAAGUAACAAUACCGAUAAAUUUAGAAUUUUAAAAAAUAUAGAAUCUAUAAGAAAAAUAAAGAGCACUUAAAUGUCAAACGCAAAGAUUGAGAACGAUAGAAUUGAGAAGUCAGAAAUUUUAGUUACCUAAUAACAUGAGGCUAUUAUGAUGUAUUUAUUUAGGAGAGUUGACCUAAGUUUCAUUCCAAUUCUAUAUAAUCUUUCGAUAUAGUUGCAAAUAUAAUGAUUAACCUCAAAGUAUUAGCAUAUAAAGCACACCGCUAAAUAGUUUAUAGAUAUAGCAAAAUUUAGAUCUAGCUCUUAGAGUCCAUCAACAUCAAUGAUAGAUUAUAUUACAUACAUGAAUCUAUCAUGGAUAGAAAAUAUUCUUAUACAUUUACUUAUUAAUUCUAAAAAUGCUACACAACAUCACAAGUUUUUCAUCUAACUCAUUUGACGGGAGAAUGAUUUGAACCCUAGUAUUUGACCUACUCCUGCUAGGUAGGGGUAACAAAAUGUAUUACUCUCUCAUAUGCAAUGAUAUGUUUUAAAGUAAUAUGAGAAACUGUCUAAAUAAUAGAGAGAGAAAAAUGAUUAUGUGGUGGAAUAUUAUAAAUGACAAGUAGGAUAUAUUUGUAAUAAUAUACUCAAAUAAAAAAAUAAUCAAAUUUUGUAUCAAAAUGGUAGUUGGUGACUUUUACACAUCCAUUGAAGCCAAGCUGUGAGUGGUGAAGUGGAAAAUCUUAUCACAUGCCUCUUUUAAUCAUUAUUAUGAUCCUCUCUACAUUUUAGUCAACAUUUCCCCAAUCUCUAUUUUCAUAUUAUUUCUACACAUGUCUCUUCAUCCACAUUAUACAUUUCUUUCUCUUUAAACUUAAAUUUAUUUUUUUAAAAAUAUGUUUUAUCCUUAAAAUAGCAAUUAAAAUAGUAUGAUUUAAUAAUAGUAUUUUCUUUUUUAAGUGAUUGUUAAAAUCAUUCAUACGAUCUUGAUUUAUUGAUUUACUGUGAAGAAAGUUGUAAGUGACGUCUUUGGGUAUUGUUUCUAUAACAAAUUUAAUGUUUACUAGUGUUUCACUUCUAACAUUCUUAAAAAAAAAAAAAGUUAACUUUGAUAGAUUUAUUAAAAUUUGAUAAACAAAAAUUAGAUAUUUGAAAAUACAAAAACUUAAGUUUGAACGACCCAUCUUAGAAGGAAGAAACAAUAUUAGAUGAAAAUGAAUUGUUGAAAAGGAUCCCACUUAUUAUUUCAAAGCAUUUAAUUAAUUAGUUGUUAUUAUUUUUUUUAAAAAAGUGUGUUGUUAAUAAUUGAAGGUGGCCAACUCAAGUGAGUGUGUGGUUUUGAUGGAAUUCAAUGCAAAAUGAAGAACAAACUUCUUCACAUGCUUUUGUGUGAAUAUUCCCAUGGCGGUGUUAUUACAAAAUUCAAAUUUAUUUUUAAAACAAAUAUAUAUCAUCAUUUUAUUUCUAUUUCUUUUUUUAAAAGAAUACACAAAUACUACAAGUUUUUGUUUAUUGAUUUCCCACCUCCUAAAAUUAAAUAACAUAUACAUAUUAUACUCUUUGACUAAUGAGUGAUUUCCAUUCCUUUCUUUUUUAAAAAACUAAAUUUCACAUGAAGUUUGUUGUGGCUGAGUGUGUUUUUGAAAAAUAAAAUUGUCAAUAUUUUGAAUUCUUAUUUAAUUUUAAAGCUUUUUUCCUUUUUUUUUAUCAUAGUAAUUUUCAUUUUCUUUAUAUUUAUAUUGGACAUAUAAAUAUAAUAUGUUCCCAAAGUUUAUAUUUGAAAGAUAAAAGUAAUAGUUAUUUGAACAAAGACGUUUCAUUCGGUCUUGUUUCCAUGCUUGUUUAUUCUAAAAAAACCUAAAGGUAUUUCAACUUCAUUUAUGGAUAGUGAUUUUCACCAUAUAGACCUAAAGGUAUUUCAACUUCAUUUAUGGAUAGUGAUUUUCACCAUAUACACAAUGGUGGCUUAAAUAUUUUGAAGUCAUUGAUUUUAAAGUUUUAUAUAAUUUUUCUUUUCAAAACAACUCUAGUGAGUAUUGUUUUCAUUUGUCACUCUCAUAAUAAUUUUCUAGAAACCGACCAACAAACAAAAGUUCGAGAAUUAGAAAAUAGUCUUUCAACUCAACGACAUAAUUGUUAGAAUCAAACUAAUUUAAAAGAAACAAAAGAAUGUGAGAUGAUAUGGACAUGAUUUGACACAAAAUUCUUUAGGCCAAACCUCAUGAUAUACCAAUAAACCCUAAUAAUUAAUGGCCAAAUUGGAGAAGGAAGAAAAUUGAAAAGAGGUUAAUUAGGGGAAAGCAUAAAGUGCAAAAUACAAAAGAAAUGGUGUGACACUACAUUACAACAAAAAAAAAAGAAAAAAAAAAUCCUCCAUUGAUGAUGGCCAUUGAAAAGCUUGGUUGCAUGGUUCACUUUGAGUGGCCACUUAAUAGGGCUUUUGUGAAAAAGACAUUCAAAAACUAAAAAGAACCCAAAGGGCAACCUUUGUUAGUGGGAGUUAUGUACCUUCCAUAUUAUUCCCCUAUUCUUCAAUAACUCAAUAUAUCUAGCUAAUUCAAAGUAUUCAACAAAUGAUAUACAAUAAUAUUUCAUUUCCUCACCAAAUAAUAGACAACUUCGAUGUAUCGAUAUAUGUACCUGAUGAUCUUAAGGUCAAUACUAUCAAUUUUCUUUGGAGUCUUUUCUAGAUAAAGUAGAAUUGGUAAAGAUCAUACAUAUAAUAAGAUUUUGUGACCAUAAUACAAAUGCAACCCAUAAGUAACUAUUUGUUUGGAUUAACUAUCAAAUAAUGUUUAUAUAAAUAUUAUUUUAUGCACUUAUGAACACUUAUUUAAAUCAAAAGAUUAUUAUGUCUCGUUAUAAUAGAGUCUUGUGUUGUUUUUGUAUUAAUUCAAGACAAACACUUGAUGACACAUAGAUGUUUCUCGGGAUUCCUUAUUUAAGAACGACUUUGCUUUUAUUUAUUAUUAAUUGAAACAAAAUCAAUGUACAUGUACAUUUUGUAUGUGAGAGAAGGAUAGAGAUAGAGAUGGGGGAUUUGGUUUGAGUGUCACAUUAUCUCCAAACAAUACAACCCAUAACAAUACAAGAAUCUCCAUUAUGAAGAAAAAGUGUUCUAAGCCAUAACAAAAGAGAGGAAGAUGGUGGACAAAUUGUGGUGGAGAAGCUGGGUUUCUUUAGUGGGAAUAAUUUCUACUUUUUUUUGUUGGAAAGAAAUCUCCUAUUAUCAACCAUUUCUCUUCCCCUCUAUUUUUUUAAAAAAAUGAUUUUAAUUACUCAUAAUAUAAUGAGAGUUUUUUUAUAAAAAAAAUUAGUUUUAGAGUGAAGAAAGGAUUAAAAAGGGGCAAAGGAACAUAUCAUGAAUGGAUGGUUCCAAGUGCAAAAGGUAUACUCUAUAAAUUUAAAGUUAUUAUGAUAUAUAUAUAUAGUGGAUGCUCCCAUGGUCCAAUAGCCUAAAGAUUGUAGGACAAUAAUGUACAAUGUGCUUAGAUUUUUCAUUCUCUUUUACAGAGAGUUAGGACCAUUUUAUCAUUAGCUAGGCCAACCCCAUUUGGAAAAAGAUGGCCAUCUCCGAAGAAAUUCACCCAAUAAAAUCCUUUCAAUUUCUACUUUCUGAUAUUUUCCCUCACAAGUUUGUGAAAGUCUUGAUUUUUUUAUACAAUUUACUUUUAUCCAUCAACUUAAGGUUAAGGUUUUGAGUAUAGUGAUGAUUUAAAAUUACACGAGAACAAAAAAAUUUUGUUUUCAAAGAACUCUUAUAAUGUCAUUUCCUUUCCAAACUUUUAGUGUAAGAGAUCAAGUAUUAGAAUAUUGAUAUAAUAUUGAAUUUACUUUUAACUCAUUAGGGGUUUUAGUAUAAAGCUCUUGUUUGGUUUGUAGAUAGGUUUGUAGAUAGAUUUGAGUUCUGUAAAAGUAAUAUAGCAUAUAGCUGGAGGUAUCAUGUAUAAAAGGCAAUAUGUAUAUUUGCUUAUGUAUCUCGUAGACUUAGCACAUUGUGUAGUGUGAGAUUAAUAAAAUCCACAUACAAACAAAAUUUGAAUUAAACACUUUCUUCUUGUUGUCUACCUUAGAAGGAAUUGAACAUGAACUUUAGUGAAAUUGUAUGAAAGGUUUAAAGUAGAAUGAGUUUGGAAGUUCUUGUAGUGGUCAAUUUAGGUUGAAAGAGAAGGAAAGCCUCAUUUUACAUCAUAUCAUAAUAUCAAUAUCUUCUUUUCAUUUUCAUUAUUUCUGAAUUAAAAAGAAAAAACAAUAGAUUUUGUCUCUAGUAUAUAUAAAAACCUAAUUUUGGAGGAAAAUUAUAAACAAGUAUGAAUUAAAGAAAGAGAGAAAAAGAAGUGGAAGAUAUUGAUUAGAAUGGUUGCCAUUGAAAUCAAACGAAGAAUUUUAUCGGAUGGUCACAAAUGGUGUUAUUGACUAGGAUUCUGACCCAUUUCAACCACACAUCUCUCUACAAUAUGCAAUAUGCAAUAUGCUUGUCUUCACUUUCACUCUCUCUUAAAAAUGUUCUCUUUCUCUUUUCUAAUUUUUUUAGUAAAGUAGAAAGAGAUUGAGAUAGAUAGAAUAAGCAAGGGUGUAUAAUGGUAAUUUCCUUUAGAUUAAUAGGGACAAUAUUAUAAUUUCACUUAACUAUAUUAUGGGAGCUAGCCCUUAUUUUAUAUAUAAUGUGUGAUAUAACAUGCAUGUAAGAACCUUUGAAAUUAAAGAUUAUUAAAUAUAACUCUAAAAGACAAUGUCCAAAUUAUUAAAGAGAAGUUCCUAUUCAAUUUAUUAUGUGUGUACAUAUAUAUAUAUAUAUAUAUAUACAUGCCCAUCAAAAUGGAUCAUUAUCACAUGCCCCUACCUCCAAAAAUAACCCCAAAAAAAUCUUCUAACAUUAACCAACUCUUUUUCCCCUUUUUCUCUUUGGUGAUAUAAAGGACGUACCUCAUUUACAAAAAGAAAUAUGGAGGUCCGUUUAGAAUGGACAUUCCAUCUAUGAAAGAUAUCUUUCAUAAUCAAGAACAUGAUAUCAAGAUUGGUUUACCCAAAAAAAAUGGAAGAAAAGAAAAAGGAAAUAAAGAAUAUAGUAAAGUGAUUAAGUAGAACAUAUUGAUCUGUAUUUUAAUAUUUUAUACAAGCAAAUGACAAUUUCACUCUUAUUUCUAACUUGAUUAUUGUCAGCUUAAUCAUAAUCCCAUACAAAAGAAGGAAUAUAAAGGGAAAGAAAAAGGGGGAAAGUUAGGUAUGACAAUAGUAUUAGUAAUAAUAAUAAACUAAGAUUUCCUUAUGAACCCUAAAACCAUUUAAAAUGGAGAGGCAAAUAAAUAAAAACAAUUGCUUUCUCUUUUUUAAGUGUACACAUAAGCACUAUUCCUUUUUUUUUUUCUUCCUACAUUUGCUGUCCUAAUAAUUCUAACCUCAGCUUAAGUUUGUCAGCUUCACAUAGCAUUUAGACUUUUUAUUUUUAUAAGAAAGAAAGAAAGAUUCUGAUUGAAAAACAAAAAGAGAUAAUUAUUAAUAAAUGAAAGGACAAAAAAGCCCACAAUUAAAGGGUUCAUUUUGCAAAAUUUGGCUUUAGUUUUAGGCGUAGUGUUGAAGGGUCAAAUUGCAAAAUGAGGAAAACGACCCCAUCAACACCAUUUUCAAUCUCACCAUUACACUCCUCUUCUUCCUUCCUUACCCUUCACAGUUCACACCAUUGACAAUUUGGUUGGUUCUUAUUCAUUAUCUUUCUCCACUCCUUUCAAUAUCAUACUUAUUUAUUAAACUUUACUCUAAUUUGCUUACAAUUUUCAUUUUUAGCUUCUCUUUUUAAUCAUGUGUUUAUUGAAUUAUAAUUGGAUGUUGUAGUUGAAGGAUUAUGUGUGUUUAUCCUAAAAAAAAAUCUAAAUAUAUUCAAUUUAUAUACAAUUUUAAACUACAUCAAAAAAUUGAAUAGAUUAUCUUGAAUUUCUUAUGACUUCCUUAUCAUGAUUUUCUUCUUUUUCUAACUAAGCACUUCAAUUCUCAAUCAAUUUUUUUAAAAAAAAAACCAAAUAAAAAUUAUUAGUCCAAAAUGUAAAUAAAAGCAAAGCAUUACCAAAAAUGGUUAUAUAGUGCAUAUUCGUUGGCUUUUGUUUUUUGUUUUAAAGAAAAAAUGGUUAGGUUUUGGUUAUGCUUAAAUAGGAAUAUAUUUAUUACUAUUACUAUAUAGUUAUUAUGAAAAUAAAGCAAAUGAAUUGAUUGUCAAAUUUUGAUUGCUUUAGUAUAUCUAUCAAUUAGGUAUUAAUUCAGAAUAAUAAAUAAAUAAAUAAAAGAAGAAGCAUCAAUUAGGUAUUGUUGAUACUUACUAUAAAUAUACACUAAGCACAUUGAUUAUGUAACAGAAUAUAUAUAUGGCCACUAAAGUCAAUUUUGUUUCUUAAAUCUUUAUUUUAAUAUAUGUUUUUUUUUUAAUUAAUCUUUUUCUACCAUUUUAUUUUUAGCAAUUUAAAAUAAUGUUCUUUUAUGAUAUAUUAUCUUUUUUGCCUUCUUUUUGUAUACACAAAGGGGAAUUAAUAAUCACAUAUAUUGCACAAUUUUAUUAUUAUACCACAUUUUCUAUGCUAUACAAUAUCCUACAUACCGUAAAGCAUAACUUACAUUAAAUUAUAAUUUAGUGUAUUAAAAAUAGCAGGAUUAAAUUGAUAAGAUUUUUUUUUUUUGGAUAGGAUUUAAAUUUUGAAAACUUUUAUUUUCGUAGUCCUAUAAAGUUUAGUUGUCAUAAAAGCAUUCACUCUUGAUUAAGAGGUGAAAAGUUGAGAUUUUAUAUGAGUUAAUUAAAAUAUAAAAAAAAUAUUGCUUAUGUAAUGUAACGUUUUAUUAUAUUAUUAUUUAUAAAAAACUUGCGUGGCAUAUUUUUUGUUUGUUUAGGAAACUUAGUUGGCACAUUUAUUAAUAAAUUAAAUUAUUGGUUGCAUAGUUGGAAGUUAACUAUAAUAAUUAAACUAUGUAAGAAAAAACACAAAAGUAUUAAAAUUUUAAUUUUAAAGUGGAAAUAUUUUAAUAAAAAUGAAAAUUACAAGUUGAUGGUGAGAGUGAUAAAAUAAUGAUGAAGAAGAAGAAAAAUGAAAAGAGAAAGGGAGAGAGCAGACUUUUUAGAAAUGAUUUUAAAUAAAUAAAUAAAUAAAAGAUAGUAAUAUUCACAAAAAUGAUAUAAAUAAUAAUGGGGAAUUUUUAUAAAAAGAAUUUAUGAUAAAGAAAAAAGUAUUAAUAGAUUAAUAAAUUUAAAAAAAAAAAAAAAAAAAAGGGCCAAACCGUGAAGGUGAACAGAGGGUGUGGUAAGAGAGAAGAGGUUAGGAGACAUGGGGAUGUGUUUUAAAAAGAAACGCGUGUCCGGUACGGAGAAUAGGGUCCCUUUGCCGGCUAAUGAGGGAUGCGUUGCGUGGCUCUGUCACUGACAAUCCACUUUGGCACUCUCAUCUAUGCCUCUCUAUUUUGCAUUUCUUUUCUACUUUUCUUUUUUUAAUUCCUAAUAAUACUUUUUGUUUCUUUUUUUUCAUUAAAUAAACACCUUUAAUUCAAUUCCAUCAAAUCUUAUAUAAAUAUUUUUAGUACUUCAUAAUACAUAUUCACUUCACUCCAUCAUUUUACACCAUUUUAUAUAUUUUAUUCUUUUUAUUCUCUUUUUAUUAAACUAAAUCUUUUUCUAUAUUAAUGUAUGGUUAAUAAAUUUAAGUCAAUUUAAACAUAAUUUACCCGGUUAAAAUAUACUUUUUACUUUUUAAAUAUAUAUAUAUAUAUAUGUAAAAUACUAAAAUUCUUAAUUAUAAAUUAUAUUUGAAUAAAUUUAUUGAGACUAUAAUUUUAUUAUAAGUGCAUACAUAUUUAUAAAAGUGUAUAAAAGUUUAUGAAAUGGCAUUUUGAAAUUUUAAAUAUCUUAAAAUUUUAUUUAUUAUUUAUUUUUUUUGAAAAAAAAAACAUAUCUCUAUGUAUAUCUAAUAUUUUUUACUUUAGGAGUGUUAAUUGUAUUAGCUAUCAAAUACUUUUAAGAGUAUACAAAUAUGUUCUAUUAUUAAAUCAAACUUCAAAAGUUUAAGGAAAAUUUUGUGAUUUAAAUUAGUAUAAGUUAAAAUUGGAUUAUAUUAGUUUGUUUAUUUUGAUAUCAUUGUAAGUUAGAAUAAUCUUAAUAAGCCAACUUUUUUCUUUUAAAGAUCUUAGCUAGCAAAACCACUUAAAUUUGAAUUUUGUGUUCAAUAAGUUUUCUAAUUAUUUAUAUAUAUAUAUAUAUAUAUAUAUAUAUUUGUUUAUUUAUUAAUACACCUAAUGUUAUCUAAAAUUAAUUAGUCACACAAUCUUUAAAGAAUAUAUGAUCAUGAUCAUACUAAGUAAGUCUAAACAUGAUUGAUUACCCCAUGCUAAUAUUAGAUACCUAUUUUUUAGACAAAUUUUAACCUGAAAGUCUAAUUGAUGUAUUAACUUUUUAUUUUUAUAAUAAAUAAUUGAAGAUCUAUAAACACAAAUAUAUUUUUUUUAGAAAAAUUGAAGAUCUAAUCUUUAUAAGAAGUUGAAAAUAUCUUACUAGAUAUACUUAAAUCAACUUUAUAUUUAUUUAUAUUUUAGUUUGUAUUAUAUAAAAUCUUAAAGUCUGCUACAUUGACUAAUCUUGAAAAUAAAAUCGAGUAAAAACCCUUAAGAUUUAUUAUUAAAUUAAUACUUUAAUUCUGGAUUUGAUUGUAUUUUAAAGAAAAUUAAGAAAAGCAAUUAUUUUUAAACUUCUAAUUUUUAUUGCCACUAAUAAGAUUAAUUAAAUUUUGCCUACACAUACUAAUUGAAUCAACAAGAUUAUGAUUUGACUAAAUGUAGUAACAAAAGGGAUGAAAAAAAUACAAUGUCUCAAAUGAUUUGAUUUAAAAUGUGAUUGACUAAUUGCUUUAAUUUAUAUAUUUUGAAUAAGUUUACCUUAUUUUGUUCGAUUAGAUUACUCUUUUAAUUUAUAUAUUUUCGAUAUCAAAUCAUUUAGAUAGUAUAUAUACUUAUGAGAAUUAAGAAAAUUAAUUUAGAAAAAAUAUAUCUAAGUUUAACCUAGAUCUUGUUGUCCUAUACUUGAAAUCUCAUCAAAUUACCCCCUACAAAAAAUGACAAAGUAUUUCAAGUACUCUUUAACUUAGACAUAGUAAAUGUUAGCAACUUUAAUUUUAAAACUUUGAUUUGAAAGAUAUCCGUCAAUAUAAAUAAUUUCUUGUGCCUUGAAUAAAUGUUGCAAAAACAUUUUCCUUCUAAUUUUACAUGAAGCCAAACCAUGUAUCUUAGGAUAUGUAAAGUUGUUUUGAUCAAAUAACAUAAAAAAAUGUUUAGGGUUUCAUUUUAAUAUUGGUCCCUAAACUUUCAAUAAUUCAAGAGGGUCAUCAAUAUCAUGGUAAACUUUAGCCAUUUGCUUGGUCAAUCUCUUUCUAUAUUAUGGAUAAGAGUAUCGAGCUUCAAAAAAAAAAAAAAAAAAAACCCUAAUAUUAUUACUAAAUCCAAAUUAAGUUUAUACGAGUAUGAGAGAAAAGGGUGAACAAUGGAUCUAUUAAGUUGAGAUAAGACAUCAUCUAGCUUACACUAUGAUUAACACCAUUCAAGUAGUUAUUUACUAAUUGAAUCAAACUAUGAUUUGUAUUGAAAUUUUAGUUGUGCUAUAAAUUAGUUAUAUUACUUCUUUUGCUUUUUACAUAAUUAUAUUCAUCCUUUGUAAACGACAAAGAAAAAGAUAACAAGACAAAGAAAAAUAGGUUUUUUAAACGAUGGAGAUUUAUUGAAUUUUUAAGAAUUCUUCAAAAAGUAAAUAUUAUAGAAUUUGAUGAUUGUUCCACAAAAUAAGAUAAAAUAGGAAGAAAAGAAGAGUAUUUUCUUCACUUAUUUUGGGAAAAUAGGGUGAUUUUCAUUUAGUUUUAAAAAGUCAAACACACAUUUUUCUAUAUGUUUGAAGUCAUUGGCUCUAUUUUCAUUGGGGAAAUUUUGGUAUUGAAAAUGGUGUCACCUUUGGAUUGGAAGGCAUUUAAUCAUGUUAGAAACCAAUCCCAAAGUGUAGAAUUAUGAUUAGCAAUUUAUAAGCAAAGCUUUGUCUCCUUUCACAUCUUAUAUUCAAUUACUUAUAUUUAUGUUUGACCCAAAAACCUACCACAUUGAAAGAUGUGUCAAAUUUUAAUCAUUACUUUUAUGAUAAUAUAUACACAUUAUUGUAUUUAUUGUUGCCUUGUAUUUUAAGUACUGCUCUUGAGAUUCAUGUUUUUCUAUAAAAAUUGUUCAUAAAAUAUUGUUUGUAAUUCCUUAUCAUUCAAGGGAUUGGUCAUAAAGUGAAAGCAUAAUUAUUAUUUGUCUCUUUUUUAAUUAAUGACAUUUUUUAUUGCAAAACCUUUAAGACAUUAGGGUUUGAUUUUUUUUGUUUUUUAUAUACCAAGUUGUUCAUUGUGACCGUUAGUUGGAUGUUAUAGUUAAUUUUGUUAACAAAUUGAUAGAUUUAAGAUCUAAAAAUGUUUGGAAAAAUUUAUUGUUGAGUGUUACUUUACCCCAAGAUUCAAAAGUCAAUGGAUAGACUCAACGUGUGUUUCAAAAAGGAAAAAUAUUAAAGCUUUGAAUUUUGAGUCAAUCAUUAUUUGAGUCGGUGAAUAUAUACCAAUUGAAAAAUAACUAAAUAGUGUUGGUGUGACGUCUUGUAGUAUUAGAUGCUAUAAACUACCCUAACGUUGUUGAAGUUACACAUAAUCACAAGUGAAUAUCAAAUCAAAUGAAGGACAUUAUUAAAUACCUUCAUUUAAUCACUACCUUGAAAGGAGAAGAGUAGGUAAUGUCUAUUUACUUUAUGUAAUUAGAUUAAUUAUAUACAAUUCAGGUGUAUAGUAUUAACUCUGACAUCAUAGUGUAGCAGACUUGACACCACAAUAGUGCAAUGAACCUUCACAUAGUUUAACUUAAAGAACAAGACUAAAUUGAGAGAAGCGGAUACGAGUUAUACCCACAAGAGGCUCACCAAUGACAACAAGCGCGUGAAAAUUCCUUGCACCAAACAAUUAUAUAGUAAAAUAUUUUUUUCGUCAAAAAGAAAAGAGAAAAUUUCUUUUGUGUUUUCUUAAGUGAGACAAGACUAAAGAAUAAUUGAGUAUAAAAAGUUAGAAAGAUCAAUGACUAUGAAUGCAUAAAGUACUAUUAAUGUUUCAAAAUUGAAAAACUAUGGAAAAAUAUAAAGAAGACAUCAACACAAUGUUACUAAAAAAAGGCUAAUUGAAUAAGUGUACUUGCCGUGAUUAUCUUCUUGAUGACUAAGGACUAAAUGCCUCAAUUACUCAUUAAUACUUUAGAUUUUAGUUGUUGUCAUUUUGUUGGAAGCUUCACACCAAGAAAAAACACCAACCUUCAUUCAAAUUUUAUGCUUUAAUUUCAAUAAUAUAUUAGAAUUUUCGUGGUUAGUUGAAUAUUAAAUCAUUUGAUUAAUUUGAUUAUUAGCGUUUCACUUAAUUUGAUUAUUAUCUAAUUUUGUUUGUUUGUUUUCAAAUUUUCCAAACUCUCUAAUGUUAUUUGUAACCACUAGGCUAUAUAUCCUAAUUUACAUUGUUAAUUUUUCAUUGGCAUAUGCUAAUGUAUUUAUAUAUAUGAAAUGUGAAUCACAUUUGAGACUGUCUCAAACGUGGUUAAUGCUUGACUUGACAAUGAAACUCAUUACUGCAAUAGUAAUAGUUUUUAAUUUAAUUAAAUUAGGCAUGUAUUAAUCUAGCUUACUUAAAUAGUUAAAUUAUAUAUUCUUUAAAAUAUAGUAUGCAUUAAUCAUUCUCGAAUAUAGUUUCACUAUAUAUUAUUCUUUAUCGAACGAUAAGCAGUACAAAUCCUCAAGUCACCAAGUUAAUUGAAAUUACAAAAAGAUGUGAAUAUAUGCAUGUCAAGAGCAUAAAAUAGAGUGUGCACACCUUCCUUGCUAUUUUUUAGUGGUAAUUAUAAAUUGAAUUCACACUUGGUGUAGUUUAUGAUCAAAUGUACAUUUAGAAAGUUUUGUUCGUGGUUUCUUUUCCAUGGUCGACGAUUAACUAAGAGAUCAAAAAUUCGAAUUUCAAUUUUUUUUCUAAUUUGAAAAGAAAAGAAAAAACUAAAGUAUAUAGAAGGUCAUAAACAUUAUCUUGAUAAAUAGUAAUUAAAGAUUUAGCAAAGAAAAAUUUGAAUUGAUCUUGUUCGAUGUAUACUUCGACUGUCAAUGAUCAAAUAUUUAUUGAGAAAAAGAAUCUAAAAAUUAAGUUGGAGAUGAUCGAUAUAGUUGGACCACAAAUAAUACAAAAGCAAAAUCGUUUGAAAAAUCAACUUUUUUUAAUAUACUCAAAUUUUCAAAGCAUAGAGGUGGAUUGCAUCAAUUUAUCCAAAUGACAUUAAAUUAUUUUAGUCUUAUACUUCUAAAAUUUAAAGAUGAUCACCAUGACAUCUACAUUGUAUCUCUACAACAUUUCAAAGAUACUCAAACUGAGUUUUCUUUUUCCAUUGUACUUUCAUUGUCUUUGAAGAAAAAUAAGCAAAGUACAAUGCAACCCUUCUUUGUUAAACUUUAUUGUCAAUUAGUUUCUUUGGAAACCAACAAAAUAAGACAAAUUUUUUAUUUUUUCCUUUUCUACUCUAAAGAAGUAAAGAUGUGAAACUAAUAAAAGGAGUGGUUGAAUACUAUAACAAAGUUAGAAGAAUAUAUAAAGAGGAAUUUUGAGUGGUGGAAAAUAUAUGAUCAAAAGUUGAGAAUAAAUGAAGUAUGAAAAUUUUCUCUUUUUGCAUGAAAUUCCAAGUUUUAGUAAAAUUGGCCAUUUUUGUUUUCUUUGGUAAAGCUUCUUUGUUAGGUCUUCAUCCCUUUCAUACUAAAGGUUUAAUGUAAUUUAAUUGUUCAAUAUCAAUUUUAGAUUUUUUUUUCUCUCUUUCGAUUGGAUUACAAAUUAAGCUCUUGGACUUAGAUGUUUGUGUCUAUUUCAUUUUUAUAAACUGUCGAAAUUCCUAAAAUUUCAAACUUUAUAACGUUCAUGAUCAACAAGACACAAAUUGAAGAGUUUCAUUAGAUACAACAUUUAUAUUUUAUAUCUAAUGGAUCAAUUGGAUUUUGAUUUUUUUUAAGUUUGAGAACCAACCAGACACAAAUCUCAAAAUUUAAAGACUAAAAAUUUUAAUUUGAUCAUUUUUUAUAGUUUACUAAGCGUACCACAAGUUUGAAAUAUCAACCAAGGGUCAAACAAUAUAAUGCUUGGGCUCGAUAAGUCAUGGCUCGAAGCACCUAUGAGUGAGGCUGACCUCAACUUCGACUUCAACUAGGGAUGAGGUCAAAGGCCGCGCUAUUUGGCUUAGGGGUACGGUGUUCAAUUUGCACACAUCCACGACUCAAUACAUAGAAUGAUAGGAAAAAUAGAUAACGACUAAAAGAGCUCUUAUCCGUAUAGAGAUGGAAGAAAUCCUAAGUCAUUAAGCCUAUAAAUAUGUACCUCAUUUUAAGUCUAAAAAAAGAAUUCUAACUCUAGAUUCCAAAACUCUUACUACAUCUUAAUCUCACUACCAUGGACAUUACCAAACUAGGGCUUUUUUUUCUUUCAAAUUCCAUCUUUCUUACUCAAUAAAUUUACCAUUGAGCAUGUACAUAAAAUAAUAUAAUCCACGUCCUAAUUGUUACCUAUAUCAAUGACACAAUAUUAUGUAAAUAAAAAACUCACAACUUUCAAAUUUUGAAUCAAAAUAUCUUUUUAAUAUAGUAGAUACAUACAAUAUUUUGUGGAGAAUAUAAAUAUAUUAUUCCAAAAGUGAAAUUUUGGUUGAGUUGUACUUCUAAUUUGUUGUUUCCAACCCUUCCUAGUAUUUAAUGAACAUUGUCUAUAGAAUAUUCGUCUUCAUAUAUUAUCAAACAAGUUUGAUAAUUUCCAUCAUGAUUUGUAAAGUUAAUAUAUGAUAAUAUAAUUAAGGUCAAGAUUGAUGAUUACAUAUAUCUAUUUAUGUAUCCAACCAUCAUUUUAGAACUAUAUACUAAAAUUUAAAAUAGAAGGAAAUAAUAAAAACCUAGUAGCUAUAUCUACAUGCCGUUUCAUCCAAGCCAUAGUCUCUUAACUAAAUAAAUACAUAUCAAAUUUUCUAAAAAUCUCAUUUUUAUUUAAAUUGUUUUUUUUUAAUGUUGUCUUUUUUUAUGUCAUGAAAAUUAAAAUGAAAUAAAAGUUAAAAUUUACGAUAUAAAGGUUAAUCAUUGCCAUUUCAUAUAUCUCUUUGUAAUUUAGGAAAUUUUCCCUUGUUUUGAAUCAAGAAAAAGAAUAAUUGUACGGUAUGUACUUAAAAGUUGGUAAUUAAACUAUAGUAGGAAGAUUUUUUUAAAAGUAUAAUUGGAGAUAGAGAGAAUUUGAAUCACACAUCAUUGUUAGUAAUAUAUUUAUAUGACAAUUGAAUUAUCUUCGAUUUGAUCAUUUUUAUUUUUAUUUUUGAAAAAGAACAUAUGAUGUUUAAGGAUGUUAUCUUGUUUUUUUAUGUUAGAUAUUCUUUUGAACGUUCUCUAAUUUAAAUUUUGAAGUUCCCAUUUAAACUAUAUAAAUUAGAAAAUUAUACUAAAUUUGAGCCUCUCCUUUAUUUGAUGCAAAUCAAUGCCUAAAAUUAAAAAAUAUGUAUACUUAUUCUUUUUAAAAAAAGUUGUUUUCAAUUUUUAGGUCCAUUCAUGAAUUUAAGAUAGUAACAAAAUUACUUGAAUUAUUUCAAAAAAAGAAAAACCUCAAAUUACUAUACUAUUUAAGAUGUUGGUACCACUCUAUAACAUCUUAAAUAGUAUAAUAGUUUAAGGUUUUCUUUGAAAUAGUUGAAGCAAUUUUGUUAGUAUCGUGGUUAUAAAAUAAUUAAGAAAAAUGAAAACAUAAUUAACUCCCUUCUAGAUAUUUUGCUAUAAUUUUUUCAUUGUUCUUGGAUUACUUGACUUAAGCCCUUGAUUAAGAGAAAAAAAUUAGUAACGAUGAGACAUUAAUUAAAUUGAAUAAAAACAACUGAAAGGGAGAAACCCAUUUGAAAAAUUAAAAUUUGCAUUAAAUUAGAUUAGAAAAAUGGAGCAAAGCUAUAUGUCUAGAAAGAAAAAGUGGGUGAAAGGAAAAAUGCUACAUUUAAUAUAGAUAUAUAUAUAUAUGUUCUUACUAUUCCAAAGAAUUGAAAAGAAUAUAUAAAUAUAUUGGAUAAAGUGUUAACUCAUGGAAUUGGAUUCACCACCUUUUUGACCUUUUGUGUAUAUAUGCUUUGCCUUUCAAACUUUUUACAUUUCGAACUUCAAAAUUGGCAUAUAAUUCAAUUUGCAACAACUAAUUUUGAUUUUUUUUCCUUUAGUUCAACAAUUUUGGAAGUGUAAAUCUAACAAUUGGUUUUUUUUUUCUUUUUAAUAAUAAUAAAUGUAAGCACUUUGUUUAAAAAAUGUACAAAGUUGAGAGAUUUUGUAUGAUUGAAUUAUGUUAUUUUUUUCCCCCAAAAUAAAUGGAGAUAAAUUUGACCAUUAAUAGAAGCCUAGAAUGUUGAGGGGACUCUUCCAAAGAAGGCCAACAAAUGUCAACAAUUUAAUUUUCCAACCACCUAUUAAAUUAAAAGAUAAAUUGAAGAUGGAAAAAAAAAUCAAAUGUUGAUAUUACUUGUUGGAAAAAUCAAACAACCUCUCUUAAAGUACAAUUAAUGAAAACCAUAGACCCUAAAUACACAUGUAAUUCUUUAGCUUAAUUUUAAAAAUUGUAAUCCUUAUAAAAUACAUCCAAAUUAAACUUUUGUCUCUUUUGGAUUUCAUAGUUAAUGGAUAGAACUAAACCAUAAUUUAUUGUUCAAAAUAUACCAAUUCAUUUUGAAAAUACAAGUGGGAUAUAGAAGAAGAAAAAGAAAACAAUCAUGUAAGUGUGUUUAAUGAAAUUAUUCUUGGAGGAAUAAUUGUGAGAAACAAAGUUGUUUUGGAGUUUAUGUUUGAAUUUUAUAGUGAAGUGAGAAGACAAAAUGGACAAUAUAUUUGCAGUCUUGUUGUCCCAUUGAUCCAAUUGGGGCAAUUUUUUCUUUGCAUUUUUAACCAAUUAUUGUGAAGAGCUUUGAAUAUUCCACAAAGUUGACCAACUCCAUACAAAUUCCAAAAGGACUAUCCGUACUAACACAUCAAAAUUAAAUGGAUCAAUUUGCAAAAUAAGAAAAGUUUUUUUUUUUCUUUUUUCUUUGGGGUAUUGAAUAGAAGAAGUUUUAUGAAAAGCUUAAAAGCCGGCCUAAUUUCUUCCACACACACAUAUAUAUAUAAGUCUUUGGUUUCUUUUCUUUAAGAUUGCUAAGAACAUAAGUUUCCUCUCUUUUGACUAAAGACUAGCUUUAUGACUUAAUGCAGGCCAAUCUCAUGGUUACAAUGUAUACUUUUUCUUUUCUAGAUUGAUAAAUAUAUAAAUCAACAAUAAUUGACGUGUAUUCAUUCUCUUUAAACUUUUAUAUUCAAAUUAACCCGUCAAUAUUGUCGUUGUUGUAGUAAAAAAUUAAGAUGUAGGUAGAUUAUUGAAAUUAUUUUUGUGAAAGUGAUUUUAAUUCAAAUACUUGUGUGUUGGGUUAUAUCUUCUUAAAUAUGAAUUUAAUAGUAAGUUUGUUUUUGUUAUACGAAAUGGUUUUAGUAAUGUCAAAUUUCCAUAAAGUGAAUGAAUGGGAGUUUAAAAUUUUAGAGCAAUUUUAUAAUUUCAUCACUUUUUAGGUAUUUCUUCACAUGCAUUUUAGAAUUUCUUAAUGUGAAGAGGAUUUUUUUUUCUCAUUAAUUUUUUAUAAUUAACUUGAAAUUAAUUAUUGAAAAUUGUUUAUUUCAAUAUUAAUAAUUAUUUUUAAACUAAUUAAUACAUUUUUCUUCCUUAUCACUUUUAGAGUUAAUCCCUUUAACCUAAGUACUUUUGAAUUUAAUAUAUUUGGAAUCCCCUCUUUUAUACAAAAAGAAAAACAAUCACUUAAUAAUUUCUUUUUGUAAAUAACAAAACUGCUAACAUUGAUUAAAGUUUAUUAACGUCGUUUGUUAGUGUAUUAUUUAUAUAAUUUAAAAUUUUGUUAUGUUUUAUAAAUAUUUUAAUUUUAUGAUUGAAUACAAUAAUAAACGUUAAGUCUAAUUUUGGUACGAUAUGACAAUAAUUGUUUGGGAUUUGGACUUUUUUUUUAAUUUUCAAAAAAAUAGAUAAAUAAACCAAAUUAUUGUAAAAAUUAUUUAUAAACAUUAUAAUAUACUAUAAAAUAGUAAUAAAUUAUAGGUAAAGUAGUUGUGAUAAAAGCACGUAAUUUAAAAGAAAAAGAAAUAAAAAAAAAAGAGGAAAGAGAGAAGAAACGUUAUUUAAGUAAUUCAUCAAUCAUUUUCAUAUUAAGAAAAGAGAAAGAACAAAAAGUAGUACAUAUUAAGUACAUAAACAGAACUCAGUUUGUAAAGUAAUUUUUUUAUUUAUACACUUUUAGAUUAGAAGCAUAUUUAUUUGAUAAAAUAUGACAUUAAAAAAAAUAGUUGAAUAUUGACAAAUUAAGUUGGUUUUUAAAAAUUAGUGUACAUUUUGUACACAACUUACCUACCACUUUUUAUUCCCCCUUUUCUCAUCAUACCUAACCCCUUUUGUCUUCACACAUUUUCUUUUUUAAUCUUUUCUCAAUUGCAAUAGUUUUUUUUUCUUCCCUUUUUUCUUUUUAUCUUCAUACUUUGAAGGUGGUUUCUGAGGAGAUUUAUGAAUUUUAUAAAUGUUGAAUAAGUGGAUAAAUUUGAAAAGGGAUGGAUUUAUUGGAGAUUUUUUUAAUUGAUUGGAGGGGUAAAUGUAAGCAUUUAGAAUGUUGAAAGAAGUGAUUUUGUGUGUGUGUGUGUGUGUGUAGCUUUUUGAGAUCUCAACCUCUUCCUAAUUGUCGUUAAACAUCGUUUUUGGUUUCUUUAGACUUUUCAUGGGAAUAUGCUGACCAAUUUCACAUGCAAACUUUUAUAUUUUAUAUUAUUAUGCCUUGGAUUUUUAUGUUCUUAAAACAAAGUUUUAUCUUUUUAAUCUUUCAACUCUAUACAAUUUGUUUGUUGGGUAUCUCACUAUUUAAACUGAUGUUUUAAUUAGUUUUUGAAGUAAUUAUGGAUGGAUUUGUUAGGAGGUUUUAAGAAUAUACUUAAAAACUCACCACUAUUUAAUUUUAUCUAUUCGGUCUUUUAUUUUAAUUAUACUUCGUUUUUAAAACCCACUUAUUAGAUCCAUAUAUAUUAUUAUUGAAAUUAGGUUAUAAUUUUUAUGGAGACCAUUCUUUUUUUUUUUUUUUCCAAUAGACGGGUGGUUUUUUUAUGAAAAGAAAUCAUCAAAUUUUUCAAUGACCUAAUUAUCAAUGGUUAGAAUCUAAAUUUAAUUUGUGUUCCUAACAAAGACUAACAAAACAUUGUUUGUGAAAAACCACAACUUUAUUUAAGGAAAAUUGAAAAAGAGAGAGAGAGAGUAUUUAUCAAAUGACUCUAAAGGUAAAGCCUUAUUUAUUUAUAUAUAUAUAUUUUAUAAUAAUACAAAGAACUCCAAUUCAAAAAUCCCAAUAACCUUGUUUGAUUAGGAAAUGUCACAAAUUCAAAUCUCACUAUAGUUUAAUGAGAAUUGAUCGAUGAUAGUUGGUUUUCCAACCAAAUCACCAUCGGAUCAACCAUGAUUGAUUUAGUAAAUAUUUAAACGGACUUGACCACGAAGAAGUACAAACAAGUCGUUAGUCGGUUGAUCGACCGAUUUAGGUCAAAAAAUACAAACUAGCCUUUGAUUUUUUUAAAAAAAGUUGUUGGUUUAGAUUUUUUUCCGAAUCGACACUAAUUGAACCCUUCUUUAAUCUUCGACCAACCAUGUUGGAUUAAGUUCAUCGACUAUUAUGAUCACCCAUCACCCCUACUCUCAAACUAUUUAUUCUUGAAAUUCUCUUAAAGAAACCAUUUAUUCUUAAAACACAAUAAAUGUUGUUAUCAUGAUGAAUGAUUGGGGGAAACAUCCUUAGAAAUAACAAUAAGAAACAAAAUAAAACAUCCAUCCUAUCAAGCAUGAAAAUUAAAGCACAAAUUUGUCUCAAAAAGAUUAAUUAAUAAAGGAGGAAAAAGAGAAAGCACUUGAUAGAAAAUUGUCAUUAACCUAAUUAAUUUAUUACCCUUUUCUCAAUGACACAACACAACUUUAGACUCUUUGCAAUCUCAUUUACCAACAUUACAUAAUGGAAUUUUACAUCAAUACCAACUUCCAUAAUUAUAAGAUUUUUCUUGAUUUGUAUAUAAAUUAAUCCCCACAUAAAUUAUUUAUAUCUUUCAAAAAAAAAAAAUUAUCUCAUUCUUAAAUUAACUAAUUUAACUAUGCUUUACAAUAAUUUAUAUUUUUGUUCUUUUAACCUUUACCAUUGUUUUAUUAAUUUUAAUCCAUAAAUCCUUUCUAUUUUAGUUGAUUACAUAAUUUGAUACAAAAAUACCAUCUUAGUCAAUGAGGUAGUGAUAGUAAACGAGAAAUAAUGUCUUAGUAAGUUUUCUAAGCUAUAUUUAAAUUAACCACUUUGGAAAAGACUCAAUAUGUUUGAGUAGCAAUGCAUUGCAAUUCUAUUAAUGCUUUUUUUUUUCUUAUACAAUAUCAUCAUUCUUUUCUAAGGAGAAAGAAAAAACAAUGUCCCUUUUAAGGUGAAAAGAAAAUCUCAUUGAUUAAAUAUAGAAUUACUCCCAAGCUAUCAUCAUGCAGAAUCAAGGGUAAAUCAAGUCUAAAGUGGCAUUUUUUUUAAUGUCACACUCAAAUUAAAGGAAAUUAAAGCAAUAAUUAUAAGGUACAUAAAAAAUCUUUCUUUGUUUAUACAAUAAUGAAUCAACAUUGUCAAAUAAGGAAAAACAAAAUAUAAAAAUAUAUAUAUAGAGAGAGAAUUGACUGCAUAAAUGUGUAACAAGCAAAGAAUGUGCUUGAUUGAAUCAUUAUCAAUUAAUAAAUUCAAACCUAUUAUAGGAAAAGUAUAUCUUUUCGAGAGAAGAAAAAAAACCUCAAUUUGAUCAAUUUCAUUUAAAUUCAGUAAAAAAAUAGAAAAAUGAAUAUCUAAUUUAUGUAUAUAUAAAUAAUAAACUUCCCAAAAAAUUAUUAUUAUUAUUAUUAGCAACAUUAAUUGCAUAUGCAUAAGUUUUGGCUUAGAUUGUUGGAGGUCACUAUUGAUUUUAACUAAGGGAAGAAAGAAAAACUUUAUUAUUAUAUUUACUAAAAUCAUUAGUAAUUUCUUUUAUUUCCAUUAGUUUCUAUUUAAUAUUUUGUUGGGGCUAAUUUAGGAAUUGUGUUUAAAUUUUUUAAUUUCGUAGCUUUUUGAAUUUACAAAAAAAAAAAAAAAAGUAUUUUCAAUGUUUUCUCUCUUCAUGAACUGUCCAUUACCAUAAAAAAGUUGGGUUAUUCUUUCCUUUGAAAUUAUAAAUUUAUAUAAAAAUAGAUUCAAAAUUUGUUUAUUUGUUGACAAUUCUUUAAAAAAGAAAUAAUGACAACAUGUUCCCAAACAUGGCCUUUUAAAUCAAGUUUAAUGCAUAAUUUGUACUAGAAAACAUGAUUAUAAAAUUCUCAAUAUUAAUAUGCAUCUCUAACCCUUUUGUUUAUUUUUUAUUUUUGGUGCUAAAGCCUUUCAUCAAAACAUUAAAUAAAAGUAUAACCUAAAGUUUAAAGACAACUGCUUUUUCAAACACGUCUUCAAAAAUACAAUAUUUGAAUAAAUUUUAUAAUUUAGCAAAGUAAUUUUGACACUUUUGAUACCAUUAAUAUAUAUAGAGAUUUGUUAGUUCAUGAACUAUCAUUUGUGUAUAUUUAAUCGUCAAACCUUAAAGAAUGUCCAAUGAGUUUUAAUUGGCUUUUAAUUUUGCAUCAAAAUAGAUAUCUAACGCUUCAAUUUACACAUAUAUUUAUAUAUAGAAAAUAAUUAAAUUUAAUUCUUUUAGUAUGUUAAAAUAUACUAUUAGACAUAAACUAAACGGUUCCGAUAAUUUAUUGUAAGAAAUUCUUAAACAAAAAUUUUCAAUUUCAAUGAUAUAUAAUUAGGUAAAAGUUUGAAAGACUUUCGUGAAAGUUUAAAAAUUAAAUCGACGCUUAUAAGUUAACACUACCAAAUGUAUAAUUGGACAACCAAUGUAUUGAUUUUGAUUUUCUUCUUUUGUCAUUUGGAUGAAAUUUUGAGUGUGGUUUUUGGAUUAGAAAGAUGAAAUGCAAAAUAAAAUAAAGUUGAAUUGCUUUCUUGAAUUAGAUUAUAGUAAAAUUGUAGGGAAGAAUAUGAGUUGAAAGUACAAAAACUACGAACGAUAUUUAUGAGUAAUUAUGAUUCUAAAGAUUAAAACUGCUAAAAAUAUUUAUAAAUAUAAAAAAGAUUAGGUUCUAUUCAUUAUAAUUAUCGAUAGACUUGAAAUUUUUCUAUAUAUAUUUUUACGUAUUUGGAUCUAUUUUGUUAUGUUUGAGAAAUGUUAUGGUUUUUUUUUUUUUUUUGCAAAAACAUUAAUAUUUAUUAUGUGCAAGUUUUUAUAAAAUUCAUAUUUAACUCUAACUUCUUUUGAUAAAAUUUAUAUUGGAAGUUAGAUUUUAUUGUAAUUGAUAGUACAAUAAAAACUUUACUAAAGAAAAAAAAAUUACAUUAUAAGGUUGAGUAUAUAACUUUAUUUUAAAAAACAAAAAAAAAUCGCUACUCUCAAUCUAUAAUAACUCUAAUCAAGUGUAUUUAAAGAAAAUUAGAAAAUUGUCAAAAGUAAUAAAAUCGAUGAAAUAUUUACACUUCAUAUAAAAAAAACAGACGUAUUACAUUUAAUCACUUUUUAACUAAAGAAAAAUUAAGAAUAAUAAUUUCAAAUGACAAGUUGAAGAUAUAUUAAACAAAGUAAAAUGUACAAGUAAUAGAUAGUAUAGACCUCUACAAGUGUCUGUCGUGAAAUUUUGCAAUAUAUAUUUACUCAUUUUGUUAUAUUUGAAAAUAUAAAAAUAAAAGUAACUGAUAAUAUAUUUUUUUUAAAGGUUUCUCUCACUUUUUUUCUUUAAAUAAUAAUAAUAAAAAAAAAAACCUUUACUGAGAAGGCUUUUACUAAAGAGAUUCUACAUUUCAUUUCCCAACCUAAGACCAAUUUCUUUUAAAAAUUAUUCUUCAAAAAGACCUUUAUGAAACCACUUUUUAUAAUAAACAUAAUAAAUAAAAAUAAAAAUAUCAUUAAAUUUACUAACAUAUGAUAUUACAAAUACGUUUAUUAAGUGAAAAAUGAAUACAACUAAUUCAAAAACUGUGAGAUGUUUUGUCUUCAUUAAAUAGACAUUUGUCUUGAUAAUAUAAACGUUAAUUAAUCGAGCAUCUAACUUAUACUCUAAUUUAAAUAAAGAUAAAGUUGGACAAAAUAUAAUUUAGUAAAUAAGAUAUCAAUUAUGAUUUGAAAAAAGAGAAUUAUGGAAAAGGAAUAAAAGUAGAUGACACGUGUACAAUUACAACCCGUCCCAUAUGAACAAAUAUAAAUGAUUAACUGAAAAAUACUAAAAACGAAAAAAAGAAAAAAGAAAAAAGUUUAAUAUUUUCAUUAUUUAAAAUAAGUUUAUAGAAAAACUAAAAGACAAAUUAAAGAAAGAAAAACUUAAUUAAGGACCUCAAUUUCCCAUAGGCCGUAAAGAGUUGACUACCUUUUAAAGCAAUCCAACGGUCAUAUUGGAUUUACCUCUUUCUUUCUUUCUCCAUCUCUUAUUUUAUUUCAUUUUUCUUUCAUUAAUAUUCCCAAUUUCCCAUAGUGCUCUCCCUCUUUUUAUUCUUAUUUUUAAAAAUAAAUUUCCACAUUUUCUUAAUUUUUUUUAAAAUUUAGAAACACCAUUUGUAGAAACAUUACAAGUGAGAAGACUUUGGGGGUACUAUUAUUGGGGUUCCCACAAUCCACUUAAUUAAUCAAAUUUCAAUAUAAAUCAAAUAAAAAAAUUAUUCAUAAAGUCAAAUCCCCUAUUAUCUUUUUAUUUUCUUUUGCUAUUAAACAAACAUUUAUGUUCUAUUAUUAUUGCUCAAUUUUUAUUUAUUCUCUCUCUCUCUCUCUUUGUAGCUAAAACAUUUUUUUAACCCCAAAUAAUUUGAUCCUCCAUGUGCUAUAAUCUUGUUAAUUGGGAUCAUUUUUUUAAAAUUUUAGAUUCCAUUUAUUGCUUAAUUAUCUCUUACUUUAUCCUCUCUUAUUUUCUAUAUUCAUAUAUUUGUACCUUAUCCAUCCUUACCUUACUGUGCCACCUUCAUUUUUGUUUUAAAUUGAGUUCGUCUUUUACCAAGUCCAGGGCCAAACAAACGGCCUAAAUAAAAAACUUAAAAAUAGCAAAAUUUCAUAUUUUAUCAAUGUCACUUCCAAAUAGGAGUACAAAUUUUACAUCGGUGUGCUAUAUUUUUUGUAUUUAAAAUUUUUACAAAAUGACAAUUUAAGUUAAAAAAAACCUUUAAAUUUUAAUAUUUCUUUUAACAUAAUUCUCUUUUGGUAUUGGUUUUAUCUAAAUAUAUAUUCAAGUUUACUAAGAGGUACACGUCAUAUUUUACGAUUCCGUUUUCCUAUUUUAGAUAUAUAAGACUAUUUUAAACGAAAGUUAACAUCGGAAUGAAUCUUGAUAUGGCACGGACCGUAUUAUAUAUAUUAUGAAAUAAAAAUUUACAGCUACACUUUGUGGUAACCAAUGUUGGUUCAAAUAGACAAAGGUACAAAUCCUAAUAAUAAUUUUGUUGUUACUUAUAGAGAGAGAUAAUAAGAUUUUUUUGUCUUGCUUAUUGGAAAAAAAAAAGUACAAAACCAAAAAUGCAAAUGCAUGGGUUAUAUCAAUCAUAAAAAUUUAAACAAACAAAAAAAAAAGGUUUAGACAGAUCAUUCAUUGGUUAUAACAUAGUGAUCAUUGGUUAUAUCACAAUAAUGAUUUCAACUAAACAUACAAUACAUACAAAAAAUAAAAUAAAGCAAAAUAAACGAAAGAGAAAUGAAUCCAUCUCUAUGAUGAUAAAAACUCAUCACUUGAUGACUGCCACGUGGAUUCUCUGAGACCUUUUCUUUAGUGGAACAUUAAAUCCAACGGCAACUAAGAAAUCACCGCCCCCCUCCAAAUUAAAUUAACUAUGGGAUGAAAAUAAUUGUUAGUCCCAUUUUAAAUUUCAAAAUUAAUCUGAUUAAGUAGUAAUUAUACUUCAUACCUAAGUGAAAGUAGAGUUUUUGUGAAAAUGAACAAUAGGUGAGUACCAUCCGAUAAAUACUAAAUUUAAGAUUUGUUAAAAGUAUAAGAACUAAAAUUAAAUGGUCGAUUUAAAUCCUUUGGUAUACAAGAGAGAAAUCUAUAAUCUUGAUUAUACCUAUAUAUAAAUACUAAGUUUCUAAGCAAAUGAUCAUUAUGGACCGAACUCAUUUUCUAUAAAUCUAUUAUCUAUUCCAUAAUAGUUGAAUAAUUUUCUAUGGACCACUUCAUCGAACGACAAAAAUUGUAUGUCACAACGUUUUAAAAUUUAAUUUCCAUAGUUGAAUAUGUUGUGGGUGAAUUUUAGUUCGACAAGACAAGACUUUGCUUGAAAUUGCUUUAAUUUUCAAAACAAUUGUUGGUAAUUGUAUUUUUAGAAAAAUGAGCUGAUUCAUGUUUUGUAAAAUUAAAUUAAAAAAAAGAAGGAGCAAAUAACAAAAGUUUGACAAUAUGGCUAUUACUUAGUGAUUAUAGACAAUAUAUUAUUAUAUAUUAUUUGGUUGAGUUAAUUAAUUAUAAUUUUUAAAAUCAAUUUACAAAUGAUAUAAUUUGACUUCUUUAGAAAAAAAACAAUAAUUGUUAUAUAAAAUUGAAAUCAACAAAUGUGAUUGGAACUGAUUGAUUUUAUGAAUAAUUUGAAAGAAUUAGUUGACAUAUAUAUGGUGGAGAUUUUUUUGGAGGUGAUUUUAGAAAAUUAAAAUAAGAUAAGAUAAAGAUAGAGUGGUAAAAUAAAUGAGUUUAUAAGAUAAAAAGAUGAUUAAGCAUAGGUAAAUAAGAAAUUUAGAGUUAUAUAGACUAUUAUUAUGUAGUUGAAGAAGAGGUGAGAGGUCAUUGGUAAAUCUAGAGAGAGGAGAGAGAGAGGGUGGAGCCCACUUGGACUGCGUGGUAGUCACAAUAAGAGUGGGGGGGUAAGCCUUAGGAGUUUUAUAUAAAAAGCCAAUUGCAUUUCGACGCCAAUUCCUCACUCCUCUCUUUCUCUCUCACACACACACACACCCAAACUCUCUCUUUUCUCCCCUUCCAUUUUUCCUUUCUCCCCAAACACCUCUUAUUUUCCCGGGAAUCUUAUUAUUUUCUCGGGAAAAUCACCCCUCCUUCUUUCAAUGCUUCUUCUUCUUCCUUAAAACACCAAACCCACAAAAAC
RNAcentral lists this long non-coding RNA (34545 nucleotides) under Cucumis sativus (cucumber). RNAcentral's name for it is "long non-coding RNA (CSAT_LNC000541)". The record is from RNAcentral. Lineage: Eukaryota; Viridiplantae; Streptophyta; Magnoliopsida; Cucurbitales; Cucurbitaceae.